Molecule: transfer RNA, 74 nt
Filed under: Candidatus Avoscillospira avicola
Lineage: Bacteria; Bacillati; Bacillota; Clostridia; Eubacteriales; Oscillospiraceae
Description: tRNA-Gly
Rfam family: tRNA
About the family: Transfer RNA (tRNA) molecules are approximately 80 nucleotides in length. Their secondary structure includes four short double-helical elements and three loops (D, anti-codon, and T loops). Further hydrogen bonds mediate the characteristic L-shaped molecular structure. tRNAs have two regions of fundamental functional importance: the anti-codon, which is responsible for specific mRNA codon recognition, and the 3' end, to which the tRNAs corresponding amino acid is attached (by aminoacyl-tRNA synthetases). tRNAs cope with the degeneracy of the genetic code in two manners: having more than one tRNA (with a specific anti-codon) for a particular amino acid; and 'wobble' base-pairing, i.e. permitting non-standard base-pairing at the 3rd anti-codon position.
Source: RNAcentral
GCGGAUAUGGUGUAAUGGCAGCACAGCAGCUUCCCAAGCUGCGGGCGCGGGUUCGAUCCCCGUUAUCCGCUCCA